RNAcentral lists this long non-coding RNA (311 nucleotides) under Theobroma cacao (cacao). Its description in RNAcentral is "long non-coding RNA (TCAC_LNC003169)". The record is from RNAcentral. Lineage: Eukaryota; Viridiplantae; Streptophyta; Magnoliopsida; Malvales; Malvaceae.
AAGUCGAGUAAAUGGAGAUGAUUAAAAUAUUCUAUCUCAAUAUGUAUUUCAUAACAUAAAUAUUCAUUUCAUUUAAAUAAUCAACAUGGCUUAUGGGUAUUUUAAAAGCUUGGCUCCUGCCAAAAUCAUUCUCGGGGAUACCUUGGCCAAGGCAUCUAACCGAGUCUGCCAAGGCUGUAAAAAUUUCGUAUACACAUAAACAAAUUAUUAGUUUGAAAAACACAACCGUUCCUUGGCAUUAGUGGAGUUCAUCAUCACGAGGUGGUUCGGCGUGACGUGAACUCUAACCAUACCUCAGGAGAUACCCUACG